RNAcentral lists this ribosomal RNA (417 nucleotides) under uncultured bacterium. Its description in RNAcentral is "bacterial SSU rRNA". It matches the Rfam family "Bacterial small subunit ribosomal RNA", at positions 30 to 446 of the family's 1533-position model. The record is from RNAcentral.
AUUGAACGCUGGCGGCAUGCCUUACACAUGCAAGUCGAACGGCAGCACGGGAGCAAUCCUGGUGGCGAGUGGCGAACGGGUGAGUAAUAUAUCGGAACGUGCCCAGUCGUGGGGGAUAACGUAGCGAAAGCUACGCUAAUACCGCAUACGAUCUAUGGAUGAAAGCGGGGGAUCGCAAGACCUCGCGCGAUUGGAGCGGCCGAUAUCAGAUUAGGUAGUUGGUGAGGUAAAGGCUCACCAAGCCGACGAUCUGUAGCUGGUCUGAGAGGACGACCAGCCACACUGGGACUGAGACACGGCCCAGACUCCUACGGGAGGCAGCAGUGGGGGAAUUUUUGGGACAAUGGGCGCAAGCCUGAUCCAGCAAUGCCGCGUGCAGGAUGAAGGCCUCGGUUGUAACUAGCUUUGUACGGUACG